Molecule: ribosomal RNA, 320 nt
Filed under: uncultured eukaryote
Lineage: Eukaryota
Description: partial 18S ribosomal RNA
Rfam family: Eukaryotic small subunit ribosomal RNA
Source: RNAcentral
CCCCUAGAUGUUCUGGGCCGCACGCGCGCUACACUGAACAGUUCAACAAGUCUUAACCUUGGCCGAUAGGUCUGGGUAAUCUUUGAACGCUGUUCGUGAUUGGGAUAGACCUUUGCAAUUAUGGGUCUUCAACGAGGAAUUCCUGGUAAACGCAAGUCAUCAGCUUGCAUUGAUUGCGUCCCUGCCCUUUGUACACGCCGCCCGUCGCACCUACCGAUUGAAUGGUCCGGUGAAAUCUCGGGACGGCGGCUUGGUCGCUUGCGUCCGACUGCUGAAACUUGAUUAAACCAUAUCAUUUAGAGGAAGGUGAAGUCGUAACG